CCGCGUGUAUGAAGAAGGCCUUCGGGUUGUAAAGUACUUUCAGCGGGGAGGAAGGGAGUAAAGUUAAUACCUUUGCUCAUUGACGUUACCCGCAGAAGAAGCACCGGCUAACUCCGUGCCAGCAGCCGCGGUAAUACGGAGGGUGCAAGCGUUAAUCGGAAUUACUGGGCGUAAAGCGCACGCAGGCGGUUUGUUAAGUCAGAUGUGAAAUCCCCGGGCUCAACCUGGGAACUGCAUCUGAUACUGGCAAGCUUGAGUCUCGUAGAGGGGGGUAGAAUUCCAGGUGUAGCGGUGAAAUGCGUAGAGAUCUGGAGGAAUACCGGUGGCGAAGGCGGCCCCCUGGACGAAGRCUGACGCUCAGGUGCGAAAGCGUGGGAGCAAACAGAUUAGAUACCCUGGUAGUCCCACGCCGUAAAACGAAUKGUUCCGAMCUUUG
Molecule: ribosomal RNA, 436 nt
Filed under: Escherichia coli
Lineage: Bacteria; Pseudomonadati; Pseudomonadota; Gammaproteobacteria; Enterobacterales; Enterobacteriaceae
Description: bacterial SSU rRNA
Rfam family: Bacterial small subunit ribosomal RNA
Source: RNAcentral